UGGUGUGCGAGAAGCGCUGUGGUCCCACCCCGUCCCAUCCCGAACCGGGUCGUGAAACGCAGCAGCGCCGAUGGUACUGGCGGGUUGCCCGCUGGGAGAGUAGGUCCGUGCACCCU
This 116-nucleotide ribosomal RNA is filed under the name Kouleothrix aurantiaca. RNAcentral also lists the same sequence under 1 other name. The record is from RNAcentral. Lineage: Bacteria; Bacillati; Chloroflexota; Chloroflexia; Chloroflexales; Roseiflexaceae.